This 847-nucleotide ribosomal RNA is filed under the name Halobacillus kuroshimensis. Its description in RNAcentral is "bacterial SSU rRNA". It matches the Rfam family "Bacterial small subunit ribosomal RNA", at positions 53 to 867 of the family's 1533-position model. Lineage: Bacteria; Bacillati; Bacillota; Bacilli; Caryophanales; Bacillaceae. The record is from RNAcentral.
ACAUGCAGUCGAGCGCGGGAUGCGAGCGGAUCCCUUCGGGGUGAAGCUCGUGGAACGAGCGGCGGACGGGUGAGUAACACGUGGGCAACCUGCCUGUAAGAUCGGAAUAACCCCGGGAAACCGGGGCUAAUGCCGGGUAAUACUUUUCUUCGCAUGAAGAUGAGUUGAAAGAUGGCUUCUCGCUAUCACUUACAGAUGGGCCCGCGGCGCAUUAGCUAGUUGGUGAGGUAACGGCUCACCAAGGCAACGAUGCGUAGCCGACCUGAGAGGGUGAUCGGCCACACUGGGACUGAGACACGGCCCAGACUCCUACGGGAGGCAGCAGUAGGGAAUCUUCCGCAAUGGACGAAAGUCUGACGGAGCAACGCCGCGUGAACGAUGAAGGUCUUCGGAUCGUAAAGUUCUGUUGUCAGGGAAGAACAAGUACCGUGCGAAUAGAGCGGUACCUUGACGGUACCUGACGAGGAAGCCCCGGCUAACUACGUGCCAGCAGCCGCGGUAAUACGUAGGGGGCAAGCGUUGUCCGGAAUUAUUGGGCGUAAAGCGCGCGCAGGCGGUUCCUUAAGUCUGAUGUGAAAGCCCACGGCUCAACCGUGGAGGGUCAUUGGAAACUGGGGAACUUGAGGACAGAAGAGGAGAGUGGAAUUCCACGUGUAGCGGUGAAAUGCGUAGAUAUGUGGAGGAACACCAGUGGCGAAGGCGACUCUCUGGUCUGUUUCUGACGCUGAGGUGCGAAAGCGUGGGUAGCAAACAGGAUUAGAUACCCUGGUAGUCCACGCCGUAAACGAUGAGUGCUAGGUGUUAGGGGGCUUCCACCCCUUAGUGCUGAAGUUAACGCAUUAAGCAC